This 21-nucleotide unclassified non-coding RNA is filed under the name Mus musculus (house mouse). RNAcentral describes it as "oocyte_clustered_small_RNA10002". The record is from RNAcentral. Lineage: Eukaryota; Metazoa; Chordata; Mammalia; Rodentia; Muridae.
AUGAGAGAGACUGCAUUGCUG